Molecule: ribosomal RNA, 420 nt
Filed under: bacterium
Lineage: Bacteria
Description: partial 16S ribosomal RNA
Rfam family: Bacterial small subunit ribosomal RNA
Source: RNAcentral
UGGGGGAUAUUGCACAAUGGGCGAAAGCCUGAUGCAGCGACGCCGCGUGGGGGAUGAAGGCUCUCGGGUUGUAAACCUCUUUCGCUAUCGAACAAGGCCCGCUUAGGGUGGGUUGAGGGUAGGUGGAGAAGAAGCGCCGGCUAACUACGUGCCAGCAGCCGCGGUAAUACGUAGGGCGCGAGCGUUGUACGGAAUUAUUGGGCGUAAAGGGCUUGUAGGCGGCUUGUUGCGCCUGCUGUGAAAACGCGGGGCUUAACUUCGCGCGUGCAGUGGGUACGGGCAGGCUUGAGUGUGGUAGGGGGGACUGGAAUUCCAGGUGUAGCGGUGGAAUGCGCAGAUAUCUGGAGGAGCACCGAUGGCGAAGGCAGGUCACUGGGCCAUUACUGACGCUGAGGAGCGAAAGCAUGGGUAGCGAACAGG